GUUGGUUCAGCUGGUUAAAGAGGGGACAAGUAUCCUCUUGAUCACUGGUUCGACUCCCGAAGGGAGCACGUAGUUUGCAGGCUAUUGCGUGGGUUUACCCAGUGCGCACCCCCGAAGUGUAGCGGCUGUGGGUUCCUACGUUAAAGUUUGCAGGCUCGCAUAGGUUUACGGGUUUUCUCUUUUCUUCUUUUAUUAAACCUUUUCAAACUUCACAGUUUACAUAAGUAAAGUUAACAUUGAGUACACUGAGUAGACGAAGUACAGAGAAAACAGGUUGCGGGUUGCGGGUUGGGUCAAGCUAAUAUAAAGAAAAAUCAAUUGAGAUGAUGGAUUAUAAUGUAAGUUUUACAUUCUUUUGAAGAAUUGCAAUUCAAUUUAUAUAUAUUUUCAAUGUAUAUGUUCUAUGUGUUUGUUAAAGUGUCUAUGAUGAUUUACAUAUGAAGCAGUGGUUAGAAAUAGCUAGUAUUAUUUCUAAUUGAGUUGUAGUCACAUAUUACCAGUUAAGUUCGAGUUAUGUAAUGCAUAUUUGGAGCUUAAUUUUAGAAUUUGAAGCUUAUCUAUUACUUUACUAUGAGAAAUCUGCUUAGGUUAUCCAUGUGUAUGAAGAAUACGUAAGUUUAGGACCAAUAUAAUUGGAAAUGGCACUAGUUUAGGAGCAUCUUCUACCUGAUCAACCCUACAGAGCCCACAUAUCAGAGAAUUGAAAGUGAACAUAUCUGGUUUACAUCCUCCGUUUACCAUGUCAGCGUAUAGUUCCAGAGCCUCCUUAACCUUCUCAUCCUUAGCUAAAGCAUUUAUCAGGCAGUUGUAUCCAACAGUGUUUAAGCGGAUCCCCAAUGCUGACAUUUCACGGACAGCUUCUUCUGCUUCCUUCAAUCUGCCGACCUUGCAGAACCCGUUGAUCAAACUCGUGUAUGUUAUUAGGUUGGGCUUGCAACCCAUAAUUUCCAUCUCUUUCAUCAAAUUUCGUGCUAAAGAAAAAGAUUUUCUCGAACAUAGACCACGGAUGAUUAUGUUAUAUGUAUAGAUAUCUGGAUUGCAACCAACAGCGGGCAUCCCCUGCCUCAAAACAGCAUUGGCAUCAUCAAACUGUCCAUUGGCCACAUAACCAUUAAUCAAAGUAUUGAACAAAACAACAUUAGGCUCGGGCACUCUCUCCAGAAUAGCUCUAGCUUUAUCAACUUGACCAGUUCGGCAUAAUCCAUCCAUUAAAAUUCCUUAAGUAAACUUGCUAGGAGUGAAGCCUCAGAGAAGCAUUCUAUCGACCAAUUUAGCACCUUCAGGUAUCCUCUUAGCACGGCAAAGACCAUGAAUAACAUCAUUAAAAGUAUCAACAUCAGGUGUGCAACCCAUCAGAAACAUUUCCUCCAAAUAUCUUAUCACGUCAUUUAUUCUGUUCACCUUACAAAGCGCAUGUAUAAGUGUCUGGUAAAUAACUGAAUUCGGCACACACCCAUGUUCUGUCAUAUCUCUUAAAAGUGAACAUGCAGAAUCCACCUCAUUAACCAUACAAAGCACUUUCAUCACCACACCGAACGUUAAAACAGUUGGAGAAAUCCCCUUGUGCAACAUCUCAUAAAAAAUAUUCGGUGCAACAGCCGGGCAAUCCCCAGCAACCAAUAUAUCCAGAACAACAUUAUAAGACCUAAAACUAGGUUCGCAACUAAAAACAUCCCUCAUAUCAAAAAGUAACCGCGUCGAUUGACCAGGUAAACCAGCUCUACCAUAAUGCCUCAUCAUAGAAAUAAAAAGUGACUCCUGAAAAACUACCCCUUCAUCUUUCAUCCGCAGCAACAAUCCAUCAAUCAACUUAAACUCCCCGGCCGCUCCAAGUUUAUUAAUCAAAGUACAAUACACAUCAAAUGUAUGAGUAUACCCCAUUUGAGUACCCGCCUUACGGAACAAAUCCACAGAAGUAGGGACAUCAAGGGGGAGUUGAAGCAACUUAUUAAGCUGAUACGGUGCAAGUCGAUUAAGGGACUUUCGAAGCUGUUCAAUGUCAAAUGGUUCAAGCAAACUUUCCCAAUCUGUUUCAGGGGAUGACCCAUUCUUAUAAUCAGAAUUACCAACAACAUUUCCAUCAUCCCCAAUUGAACUACAAUAUGUAAAGAUUGGAUUUUUAUACAAAGAUUGAACCUUUUUGACAAAAUGACACCCAAGAUUCAAUCUUUUGAGCAUAACUCUUAUUGGGUAAUUGUAAACAAGCAAAAGCUAAGCACACAACUGAUUGGCAUUACACAUACAUAAACUUUUCAGGGUUAUAAGCAAUUGUGUGUAUACAUGUAUGUAUAUGUGCAUAUAGAGUUGAAAAAUAUAUGAGAAACAGAGCAGAAUAAAGAGCUCUAACCUGGGAAAAAUAUCUUGCAUAUAGUGUUUGUAUUUGCUGCAAAAAGCUUCUGCACUAAUUAUUCAGUGAGCAGCGGAUCGGGUCUAAAGUCAAAUUUUCAAAUCAAUUGGGUGUUUGUAUGUGCAUAUAAUUCAGCACACAAUAAAGCUGAUCAUGGCUUAUGGACCAGAAAGCUGCUUCUUCAGCUUUUUCAAAGAAAUUUUCUUUCAACAUUGCUACACACUAUGGUUUCAGCCGCAUUGCUUGUUAAUCAAUCUCGUCGAAUUGAUCUAUAUCAUCUACCCAUAAAGUUUCAUCAUCUAAUUGAAGCGCCCACAAGUUUCCUCAUUUCUUUCUAUCUAUAUUCCCAUGUUAUAACUAGUACAUUAGCAAAGGCGUUCUUUUCUAAUAUCUCGGAUAUUCAUAUAAAAGAGUACACAUGUAAAACAAAAAUACUAAACAAACUCAUGAACUAAAUAUUAAUGACCACAAAUAAUAAUCACACAAAAUACAAAUAAAAAAGCGGAAACCAAAGAAAUAUUCAGAAGAGAUGAUUCAAAACUUUCUAACAAUUACAAAACUAAUCUUUAAAAUUUGUGAGUCAUAAAGCCUGGAUGAUGACCUUGUGACAGAGAUAGCUAACCAUGCCUCUCAUCAUUCAUCUCAAUGACAAUGUUAUGCAAGAUGCGGCAAGCUGUGCUAAUACUUUGACGCUUCUCAGCUUUCAUUACAAGUGUAAGAACCUUCCAUUCUUCCUUUAGCCGCCUAUCCAUUGUCUCAGCAGUCAUUCUUUCCUCAGUAGCAGUGGCUGUCCCAUGGAGGUGGCGAAGGCCAUUUUCUACCAAGGCCUCCACAAAGGACCUUGUAACCUUAUCAGCAGUAAAAGAGUGCGUACCAAUUUCCUUACUGAUUGAGUUCAGUGACUUGCCAAAUUUUAGCCUUCUCAACGCUAUGGCUACUUUAUCAACCACGGUCAAUUCUCUAUUAUCGUUAAAUUUGUAUGUGUGUGACUUGGACAUUGGCUCCAUCACAAGAGAGCACAAGUAUCUGAAGGUUCUCAUUGAGAUCCCGCAGUACUCUUCGACUCUAGUCGAGUCUUCCAAGAGAGGAAAAUGUCCUGCAAAGAAGAGAAGAAAAUGCAUUUUUAUAAAUACGACUAAGACACUGCCAUAAUGUGUUUAUCAUGCUGAAAACUUGAACAUAUUAGAUUAAUGCAUAACACCAUACUAGUCCAUUCAUUUCAGUAUACAUACACAUAUCGACCUGUAAACUGUAUAAACAAAAUGAAGCUAGAAUGUCAAAAAUGAAGAUCAGUAAACUGCUGGUGAUUAACACACAGGGAUAUAUCACAUUCAGUAAGGUUCCAAUCUGAAAAGAAUGCUACAGCUUUCAUAUCAAAUCUGAAUCAAUAUGAACUGAUUAUAGGUGGAUACUUUCAGUAUUCAUAGCUAGUUACAAGCUCCUAGGAAAACAAACCCUUACAAGAACUAAGUACAUAACAACAUAUUCGAAAACAACAGAUUACAUAUUGUUCCAAAGACUAAGACAACUGGAAGCAGUUUGACCUUAAUUACUAGUUUGACCUUGUGGAACUGGAAAUAGAAAUAUUUUGAAUGUACUUACCUAAAAUCAAUCCCUUGCUACUUUGGAAAAAAAAGCUAGUCCUGAAUUCACUGGUGAUUUAUAAUUCACAUAACCAGAAGAUGAUUAUACUCAGUAUAAUUUCGAUUUACCUCAUAUUUUCUUCUAUGUAUGCCCCAAUGCCAAAAUCUGAAUUGCUUUCUUUCCCAUAUUACAGAGUAUAAACAAAGAAACUGAAAUAUCCACAAGAACUACAUACGAAUCACAUCAACUUCCUCAACUCCUUGCAAAUCUAAGGACUCUAAUCCCAUCAAAAAAAUUUAUAUGCACAUUACAUAACUCCCAGAAUUAAAAGUUAAAUGUUUAUCAUCUUCAUUGUACUAAGCGACAAUUAAAUUCUAGGUCAAAUAAGACUCCGAACCACAGAUUGAGGAUUUAUUCCUUCUCUAUCUAAAGUAAUUUUCAAUAAAUCAAAAGAAAAAUCAACUAGUCACAAAUUAAAAUUUCAUCAAACACAGAUGAACAAGCAAACAUAAAAUUACUUCAGAAAAAAAAAGGGUAGCACAUACCAAACUAUAAUGAAAUCGACAAGAACAGUUCAUCACCACUGAAUGAGAACAACUUAAAAUCCAUGAAAUUUUAAAGAUUUACAUACCAGCAAUCCUCUUCACGAAUUCGGCAAACCAAAUAACGUAAUUCAAAGGAAAUUUGCCACAAUUAGCUUCAUUUCUUUCCAUUCUCUUGAAGCAAAGUUCUUAAAAACUUAAAAUUAAAGGAGAUAUAAAGAAAGUGGUUUGAGAUGGAGAUUGAUUUUCCUUACCACCGUACAAUAACUCUAAAGUUUGUUGGAACACAAAAGUUUAUAAAGAGUGAGAUGGAUGGGUCUUGGGUGAAGUCAGCGUGUUGAUGGAGGUUAAAAGAAAUAGAAUAGUAAGAGUAGGAGUAUGUUUGUGAAUACUGGAGGUGGGCUUCAUAUAUACAAAUUUAUCCUUAGAAAAUUGUAAUUGGGCAUAAUAUAAAUUUUAUUUCAAAGCUGUAGCUCAUAUAUAAAGUAAAAUAAAGUAACUAAAAUAUACUCACUCCAUCCCAUAAAGCAUGAGCUAAUCAAUUUUACGCGCAUUUAAGAAAUUUGAGUAUGAUUAUUUGAUAUGUAUUUGCAUUCACAAAAAGAUGAGUUAGUGGAUGAUGACUAAGCAUUUACUUGAACAUGUGGUUACAGCUAUCUUAAAACAUACUAUAUAAAGUGGUGUCACGGAAAAAAUUUUCAACAUCCCACGUCACUAAGUUAUAUCAAUGCCUUUAUCAGCACAAACUUACAACUAAUAUUGUAUCGGAAUUGAUAACUCUUUUGUAUCAACUUAUAGUUGGUUGUUGAUUGACGUAGUAUGUUUGGCUUGGACUGUAACAAAUUUUGUCUGAGGUCGACCCUGCCAAAAGUGCCUUAAAAGGAUUUCUUCAGUUUUUGGGCUCGACGAGGACGUUAAACUUAUAUAAUGUGGAAAAACUGUAACAUUUCAUAGUAUGUAAGUGUGGACGCAUUUAUAAAUGUUGUAGAAAAGUCGUUAGCUCUUUUGGUUUGGUCUAUGGUGAGUUGUUGAACCAUCUCCUUCACUUUGGCUUGGGGUGUUACACAUUGAAUGCAGUAUAGAAUUUUGUUAUAAUUAUAAGUAUGUAUUUCUUUAUAUAUAUUCAAGUUGAUUGAAAAAUUAUUUAAAUUAAAUGGUACGAUGUAUAAAUCUUCAUAAGCUAUAACUUUAAUAUAAUAGACCUACUUGACUACGUCGAGACAUAUAAAAUUAUGACAAAAAUCCAAUUUAUUAUAAGAUAUGAUUAUAAUAAUAACCUCAAAUACAUAGAUCUGCCAAUUUGGUAUACAACAGAAAACAAAUGACACGAAAAAUAUGGAUAUCGAUUCACCAUUUUGUUAUACGAAUACGAAAGUAUACGAUCGUAAAACGUGUUCAGGUCAGAACUCUCAGGUGCAUUGCCUAAAGCAUAUAAUGCACCUGAGAGUUUUGACCCGAACACGUCAAAAUAUAAAGGGAUAUUUCUAAUGGUCCAUUUUAUGAUCGGGUACUUUCGUAUUCGUAUAUCGAAAUGGUAAUCGUUUUCCUUAUUUUUCGUGUCAAUUUUUCUUUUGUGUCGCAUACCAAAUUAAUGGCUUUAUCUAUUUUAGGUUUUUAUUAAAUUAUGUCUUCUAAUAAAUUAGAUUUUUUCUCAUAAAUUUAUAUGUAUAUUGUAUAGUCAGAUAGGUCUAUUAUAUUAAUGUAGUAGCUUACGAAGGUCAAUACAUUUAAUUAGUUAACUUAAAUAAUUUUUCACUCAACUUGAAGAGAUACAUAUAUAUGUGUGUGUGUGUGUAUCUUUGUGUGUGUGCUUAAUUAUAAUAAAAUUAUAUAAUUAUAUAAUAUAUCAAUUGUAUAACACCCUAAUCCUACGAGAAGCAAAUGGUUCAACAACUCACCACAGAGCAAUCCAAAAAAGCUAGCGACUUUGCUAAAACGUUUAUAAAGGCGUCCAAACUUACCACAGUAGGAUGUUACAGUUUUUCCACACAAUUAGUUUGACGUCCUCGUGGGGCCCAAAAGCUGAAGAAAUUUUGUGAAGCACUUUUGGCAGGGUCGAGCUCUGACAAAAUUCAUUACAGUCCAAUCCUAAUAUACUACAUCAUUCAACAACCCACUAUAAGUUGAUCCAAAAGAGGUAUCAAUCCCGAUGCAGUAUUAGUUAUAAGUUGUGCUCAUAAAGGCAUUGAUAUAACAUACCUAACUUAGUCAGGUGGCAGUAGCAAACUUUCUCCGUGACACUACGGGAAAGAAAGUAGUUCAGAUUUUGGCAUUGAGGCAUACAUAAAAGAAAAUAUGAGGCAAAUCCAAAUAACAACAGAAAGUCACCCUAGACCCAUCCAUCUCACUCUUUAUAAACUUUUGUGUUCCAACAAACUUUAAAGUCGCAAACUUUAGAGUUAUUGUACGGUGGUAAGGAAAAUCAAUCUCCAUUCCUCAAAGCACUUUCUUUUUAUAUCCUUUUAAUUUUAAGUUUUUAAGAAAUUUACUUUAAGAGAGUGGAAAGAAGUGAAGCUAAUUGUGGCAAAUUCCCUCCGAAUUACGUUAUUUGGUUUGCCGAAUUCGUGAAGAGGAUUGUUGGUAUGUAUAUCUUCAUGUAUAUUAAGUUCUCAUUAAGUGGUGACUGUUCUUGUCGAUUUCGUUAUGGUUUGGUAUGUAUUACCUUUUCUUUUCCGAAGUAAUUUUAUCUUUGCUUGUUUAUCUGUGUUUAAUGAAAUUUUAAUUUGUGACUAGUUGAUUUGUGUUUUAAUUUACUGAAAAUUACUUUAGAUAGAGAAUGAAUAAAUCCUCAAUCCGUGGUUCGGAGGCUUAUUUGGCCUAAAAUUUAAUUGUCGCUUAGCACAAUGAAGAUAUAAACAUUUUAAUUUUAAUUAUGGGAGUCAUGUAAUGUAUUUAAAUUGUGCUAAUGUGAUUAGAGUCCUAAGAUUUGCAAGGAGUUGAGGAAGUUGAUGUGAUUCCUAUGUGGUUCCUAUGUAGUUGUUGAUUACUACUCGGUAUAUUUUGGAUUUACCUCAUAUUUUCUUCUAUGUAUGCCCAAUAACUACUUUAUUUCCCGUAUUACGGAGCACAAACAAAGAAACUAAAAUAUCCACAAAAGCCACAUAGGAAUCGCAUCAAGUUCCUCAACUCUUUGCAAAUCUCAUAACUGUAAUCCCAAUAGCACUGUUUAAAUAGAUUACAUGACUCCCGGAUUUAAAAGUUGAAUGUUUAUAUCUUCAUUUGUACGAGGCGAAAAUUAAAUUAUGGGUCAAAUAAGAUUCUGACACUAUAGAUUGGGGAUUUAAUCAUUCCCUAUCUACACUCAUUUUUAGUAAAUCAAAAUACAAACCAACCAGUCCCGAAUUAUAAUUUCAUCAAACACAGAUGAACAAGCAUACAUAAAAUUACUUUGCAAAAACAACAGGUAGCACAUACCAAAACAUAACGAAAUCGACAGGAACAGUUGAGCACCACCAAAUCAGAACUUUAUAUACAUGAGAAUUUAAAGAUUAACAUACCAGAAAUCCUCUUCACGAAUUCAGCAAACCAAAUAACGUAAUUCACAUCAGGGAAUUCUCCAAUAUUUGCUUCACUGCUUUCCAUUCUCUUAAAUCAAAGUUUUUAAAAACUUCAAAUUAGAAAGAGAUAAAAAAAAAAAGUGGUUCGAGGAAUGAAGAUUGUUUUUCCUUACCACCGGAGAAUAACUCUAAAGUUUGCGACUUUAAAGUUUGUUGGAACACAAAGGUAUAUAAAAAGUAUAUGUGUUCUAAAGCAAGAACUUAGAGAAUUUCAGACAAUGAUACAAAAGUUCUGCUUUUCUUGCUGAGGCUUCAACAUUGUUUACAUAGUAAUUACACAAGUGAAUAUAUACAUUUCUCCAUCCAUUACCUAGUACCUACUCUCCCUGAGUUUCUGUAAAUGCUUUGCCGAUUCACAUCUGGGGUUUACAAUUACAAGUCCAGAGUAUCUCCCAUUUUCAAUCAACGCCGUCUGAACAAACAAAUCAGACCCAAAACCUCUAAUCAUCAGUAUCUAAAGUAUCUGGUUGGGGACUUGUGUCAAACAGGUGGCGCGCAUACGAGACCUCAUCGGUGACCCGUGAAAACAUCUUACGUAAUAGCUAGGUUAGGGCAACAACGUUGAUAUCUAAAGCGGUUUUGGAGAUAAGCAGGGAUUUGGAGAAGAUGAUUGAGGUUAGAUGAGUGUUCUCAGGGUUGAAACCCUGUAUCGGCGUUCUUCACAAAGAUCCUGUUUAAUAUUUGAAACAUAUUUGGGGAUAACAUUCUGAUUAUUUUUUUUAAAUCAAUGUUCUAUUGAAAAAAAAUCCUCAUAAAUUGAGGUGUAUUUUAUUCAAAUUUUAAUAGACUGAUUUUCAUCUAUACAUUUUAAUGUAUUGUAUGUAAUUUUGUUUGACGCAAA
This 8871-nucleotide long non-coding RNA is filed under the name Daucus carota (carrot). RNAcentral's name for it is "long non-coding RNA (DCAR_LNC000478)". The record is from RNAcentral. Lineage: Eukaryota; Viridiplantae; Streptophyta; Magnoliopsida; Apiales; Apiaceae.